Molecule: non-coding RNA, 24 nt
Filed under: Arabidopsis thaliana (thale cress)
Lineage: Eukaryota; Viridiplantae; Streptophyta; Magnoliopsida; Brassicales; Brassicaceae
Source: RNAcentral
CUUGUGAAUACUGAACAAAGACGA